RNA transcript from Wyeomyia smithii (pitcher-plant mosquito), 2695 nucleotides. It is a transcript of the gene named excitatory amino acid transporter 3, with no coding region annotated. The transcript is spliced from 11 exons. Lineage: Eukaryota; Metazoa; Arthropoda; Insecta; Diptera; Culicidae. The record is from RefSeq and is a predicted model, not a curated record.
UUGACACUGCAGCACCGAUACGGAUGAUCACCCGAACAAAACCUAAUGGAUCAGUCCUUCAUUUGUGGCAGUUUAUUCUCUGCCGUUAACGAGGUUACAUCGCUACGGUCAGUUGUGUGUGGUCUAGCAGUUAAGCCAUGGAUGAUCUGAAAAAACCUCCCUGCAUCGUAGACAGUAUUAUGUCCAACUCGUAUGUGACGUCCAGCUCCAGGCCGACCUCACGAUGGAAGCGCUUUCUCAAAUCAAACUUGCUCACCUUCCUCACGGUAAUCGGUGUGUUCGGCGGCACCGUGUUUGGCCUGAUGCUGAAAAACACAGCCGAACCGUGGACGGAGCGAGAAGUGAUGUAUAUCCAGUACCCUGGAGAUCUAUUUUUACGGAUGCUUAAAUGUUUGAUCGUACCGCUGCUCGUGUCGUCCAUUACGAGUGCAAUCGGAUCGCUGGAUCUGAGCAUGUCGAAAAAGAUUGCCUUCCGGGCAAUCGUCUACUACUUCACCACCACAAUCUGUGCUGUAAUAUUAGGCAUAAUAUUAGUCACUACGAUAAGGCCCGGUUCUGGGCGCGAUGCGGGCAGCAUGAAAGGGAAAGCCACCACUAGAGAUGUCCUCACCGUCGAUACGCUUCUAGAUUUAGUUCGCAAUCUGUUCCCACCGAACAUUAUACAGGCGACAAUGUUUCAGUUCCGUACUCUUCUAGUCGCACCGGAAAAUGCAACUAAUGUUCCGUUAACACAGUACAAAAUAAAGUCCGAAUUCACCGAGGGCACCAAUGUACUCGGUCUGGUCCUGUUCAGUGUGGUGCUCGGCGCCUGCAUCGGUAAGAUGCAGGAAGCUGGCCGACCGCUGCAGGCCCUGUUCGAAACGCUCAGCGAGGCAAUGAUGAUCAUCACCUCGUGGGUCAUCUGGAUCUCACCGUUGGGUGUGUUCUUUCUUAUUGCCGCCAAGCUGCUGGAGAUGGCAUCGUUCGUUGAGGUGCUGGGAUUGCUCGGGUGGUACUUUAUAACCGUGAUGUUGGGACUGUUCCUGCAUGGAUUUGGUACGAUUCCCAUAAUUUUCUUCUUAACUACGCGAAAGCUCGCGUAUCCUUUUGUUGGCAAAAUGAGUCAGGUGUUGGCCACCGCCUUCGGUACCGGUUCCAGCUCAGCGACCAUGCCAAUCACUAUUCAGUGUCUGGAUAACAUGGGUAUCGAUCCACGAGUAACGAGAUUCGUGAUUCCGGUCGGUGCCACCAUCAAUAUGGACGGAACCGCUCUUUACGAGGCUGUUGCCGCACUGUUCAUUGCUCAAUUGAGGAAUAUUCCGCUGUCUUUUGGUCACAUAGUUGCUGUCAGUGUUACUGCUACCGCAGCUUCGAUUGGUGCCGCUGGUAUUCCGCAGGCUGGCCUGAUUACCAUGGUGAUGGUGUUGGAUACCGUUGGGCUACCGGCAGAGGAUGUUACGAUUAUUAUUGCUGUUGAUUGGUUACUUGACCGAUUCCGUACCACUAUCAAUGUUAUGUGUGACGCUCUGGGAACGAUUCUGGUGAACGCAAUCUCGAAGAAUGAUUUAUCCGCUACUCCGAACAAUAUUAAUACGCAUUAGAUUUGAGCUUUUUGUCAAUAUAUGUACUCCAUUUCGAUUCGUAGAUUUUAUAGCAACCGUGUGACGCUGAACCCCACGAACUGGUCGAACUGCGGCAGGAUUGCAACGAUAAAGAGUGAACUCCGCUACCGUACGGUGUCAAGCCCUAACCGGGUGGAUUAUCCCUCCUGAAGAAGAAGUAAACGAAAAAAAAAACCAACUAAUUCCCUGUUGUUGAAUGCAGCAAAUGUCGAAGAGCUCAAACGAAAGAAACUAUCCCCGCAACCCAUUCUACAGCAAACCGCAUGUACUCAUCAUCGUCAUCACCGCAAAGGACAGGGUGCUGUAAACCAUAAUAAUAUCGAACGUAGCUCGGUUUUUCCCCCAAGGGGACGACAGUAGCAGCAUCCCGGUCAGUGUUAUCCUCUGUUAUUUACGUUAGAUGAUGUCAAAUCAGCUAGAUGCAGAGAGUACAGCAAUGGGUUUUCUUCGUGUUUCCGAAUUGUGUCCGUUUGCUGUGUGUUGUUUAUCCCUGAUCGAGUAGUAUCGAAAAAAAAUACUAAAAGCAGAAUUCUCCGAACAUUGGAAUUCAUACGAGCUUAGGUCUAACGUAGCGUCAGUGUUAAUUAACUGUAUAGUUAAAAAUACUUACAAAUAUAUUUUAAUAGUUAACGUUUUGUACAUUGUUUUUUUUUCUCAUUUUUUUCGUGGCUUAUUUAACAACGCAACACAAAAGCGCAUUUAUUUUCAGUUCAGCUUCAGUUUUAGUGUUUAGGGAAGGUAGAAGGAAGGAAAAAAUAAACAAACUGCCAUCGUAGAAGUUUGUUUUAGUACGCUAGCACAGAAAGAAGACUAACAAACGAUUGUCGUAAGCAAGAAACAUUUUAGGCUAUGAACCAAAAAGCGUAAGCAUUAGCCACGAAAGUAAUGUACGAAAUUAACCCCCGUCUGCGUUGGGCGUUAUUAUUAGUUUCAAAGAAUGAUAAACGUAAGUUUGUUUAUGGAAAUAAAAACACGUUAUAUUCGUAACUGUUUCAUCCAAAUCCAAACUCGAGUGUACCACGAAUUGAACCAAUCUAUGCAAGUGAAAAUUUUACCAGUGAAAACACAAUAAAAUGUAUUUGAUGUUGAGACAA